GCGUAGAGAUAGAGCACAGGCGUAUAGAAGAGAGAAAAAUAAAGAGAGAGUAGUCUUCUUCUUUUAUAGAAGACGAGAGAAGGGUGAGAGAGAUUUAGAAUGAAGGUGAAGGUUUGCGUUAAAGUUGUUCCGCUAGAAGAGGAGUCAAUUGUAAUUUUUCUUUUGUUUAGUCAAUCUUAUUUAUCCGUUUUUUUGUUCUUUUUUUUAUCGUAUCAGGUUUUGCCGAGGAGACGGAUUUAUGGUAAAAAUUCGAUUUGACGCUUUCGGAAUCCCAACAACUGGUACCGGAAUUAGUACC
This 298-nucleotide long non-coding RNA is filed under the name Ananas comosus (pineapple). RNAcentral's name for it is "long non-coding RNA (ACOM_LNC009189)". The record is from RNAcentral. Lineage: Eukaryota; Viridiplantae; Streptophyta; Magnoliopsida; Poales; Bromeliaceae.